GGGCCCUGAGCUGAGGUUAGCGCAGCCUCUGGGGCCCAGGCUGGGCCAGUGAAUCAUUUCUGACUGGUUUUAGGUGAAUAGGACAGUUCUAUCUUGCACCUGAGCUAUUUGUCUCUCCUCGUCACAGUUCAGGGUUUUGGCCCCAAACAGCGGCACAUGACAAAGGGAUUUCCGGGGGUGGUUUAUGGGACUUUUGCUGAAAUAGUUGAGUGAACUUCACCUGCAGCCCACAGGGAGCCGACCCAUUCCUCUGAGCUCUGUUUCUGUGGGGCCUGUUCUAAACCAGGGGCGGGGCCUGGGCCUCAUCCAGGCAGGAAAGACCACCUGUGUCCUUCCAGCAGUGGGCCUGAGCUCCCACCCUGGGCCCUGCAUGCUCGAUCAUCACUGAUCACUCGGCAAGGACAUGCCCCCUCCUCCAGGAAGCCGUCCAUCUCUCCCUGUAUGGUCCCGAGUAAUGGGAUGCAGGGAGCAUGGAAGCCCAACUCUGUUGCCUGGGGUUUCAACAACCCGGAGAUGUAACUACCAAGAGCCCCCCACAGAAUCAGACCGAAGCCCCCCUCUGUGGGACUCAGCCAGAAAUGGGGUCGCUUGUGCUCCCCUCCCCUCUCCUGCUUCUCGCUCCUUUCCUGGCCUGUCCUGGGAGCACCUCCUGAGUGACUCACUUGCACAGGAAUCUAAGCCUGCUUCCGGGGCACCGACCAGGACAAAAUUCCAUGCUUUCCUCCUGCAGGUAGUUAGCUGGUCUUCACCACCCACCUCAGCAGCUCCACUACACUCUAGAAUGAAGCCUGCCAGGCCCCACCAACCUCUUGUUCUGCAGGAAAGUUCCCAGAGGAAACGCCCCCACCCCGCCGCCCCACAGCCCCUAGUUGGUUCCCUCCCCCUCCCUGGGAGGCGGUGCUCCCCUCCGCCCCGCCCUGCUGCACCUGCAGUCCAGCCUGCCCUUGCAGUUGUGCUGCCCCCACCUCACAGCCUCCCUGGGCCUCGGUGGGUCCAUCUGCCUAGUGGUGUGCAGGGCACUGGACCGGGGUGAGCACUGCUGCUCUGGUCCUGAAUCCCAGCCCCCUGCCCCACCCCCCCAAACUGAAAUAUCUGAGGAAAGAGGAGCCAACUCGUUUAAGAACGAACAGUUGUUCCUCGCUCACAGAACCAUAUACUCUGGCUGUUACAGCUCAUUACUAAAUCUCAGCCGUGCCCUGAGAAGGAUUAAGGAACCGGCUCUGGUGAAAAUCCCUAGCAGAAAUAACGUGCUCCCGCCACAGGGAGCCCUGGAAAUUUGACUGCGGUAAUCCUGGUAAUCCUCUCCUGGCCCUCGCAUUCCGGUGUCUGCACACCAACAGGGUCGGCCGCUUGUGGGCGCUCGCCUCUGCCCGGUUGGCAAAAAGAGGCCCCAAGGCGAGGCGGCAGCCUCCCGACGCAGGCGCAGCACUUCGGGACGCAGGGUUGCUGGGGGAGCUUCCUUAGGUGGACUUGCUGGCGGAAGGAACCUGAGUCCAGACGGCCAGAGGCCUCGCUGCUCUGCCCGGAGCCUGCCGGUGACUCAGGCAGGAGUGAAAUGAACUCCCGUAUGUGAGGGGCUUGGCACGGCUCCAACACUCACUCCCUUUCUUCGGGGCCUCUUCCCCUCCUCCUGUGUCUGGCCUCCUGCUGGGCAUCUUCCACCGCCCACCUCAGCUGCUCCUGUUUUCUUCUCCUCCCUCUGGGCACACACCCGUGCCUUCAGCCUCCAGCCCUUUGCUGAUGCUGUUCGUUCUGCCAGAAAUGCCUGUUCUCCUUCUCUCAUUCCCACCACUCCCAAUCCUGUCACCUGCACUGUUCAUCAGCUCAAAUGCCACCUCCUCCAGGAAGCUGCUUCUCCAAGGAGCUCUGUGCCCUAGACAAGAACACAGAUGACCGGGCCACCACAAGGGGCUGCUCUCUACCCACAGUGGCUUCCUGUUCCUUGUCCAGGUCCGACUCAAGCCCGUAGAGCAUUUUUCUCCCCCGCUCCGCAGUUCAGGAGAGUGCCCACUAGGUGGUGACAAAGUGACAUUCCCAGCGGGGAUGAU
Long non-coding RNA from Phyllostomus discolor (pale spear-nosed bat), 2048 nucleotides. RefSeq lists it as uncharacterized. NCBI's taxonomy places the organism in Eukaryota, Metazoa, Chordata, Mammalia, Chiroptera, Phyllostomidae. The transcript is spliced from 2 exons. The record is from RefSeq and is a predicted model, not a curated record.